Small nucleolar RNA from Panthera pardus (leopard), 66 nucleotides. The record is from Ensembl. Lineage: Eukaryota; Metazoa; Chordata; Mammalia; Carnivora; Felidae.
GUCCAGGGUGAAACCUAAUCUGAGUAAACAUCUAUGGAUGAUAAAUGUGGAUAUGCUGAGAAGACG